Dunckerocampus dactyliophorus (ringed pipefish) is the source of this 400-nucleotide long non-coding RNA. RefSeq lists it as uncharacterized. The transcript has 3 exons. The record is from RefSeq and is a predicted model, not a curated record. NCBI's taxonomy places the organism in Eukaryota, Metazoa, Chordata, Actinopteri, Syngnathiformes, Syngnathidae.
CCUCAGUCAACCCCGCUGAAGUCCAGAGAUAAAAGUAAACACUUGAAGGUGGUUCUCACCAGCUCAGCAGAAAUUAGUCCAAGAAAAAAAGCCAUGAACAUCUGGAACAUACCUAGCCCUACAUCCCACCUAGACACUGUUACAGUCAAAAGGAAGACAACCAAAGCUCAGCAGCUGCAUCUGAAACAGUGGAUACCAGAAUGAGUGUCAUAGAAGCACCUGAUGAAAGAGAUGACAGCACAUUUCUUCCACUGAGUGGUGGUGGUAUUUCCUCAAGAACAUCUUCAGACGUGUGAAGAAGAAGGCAACAGCAGCAGAAGAGGAAGAAAGAAAACCGGGACCUGCAGCCAUGGAUCAAGUCUACUUCUGGUGGUCGUGUAGCUCGUAUGGUGGAGAUCAG